UCCAAAUCAUGAUCGAUUCCCUUUUCAAAACCUUCUGCAGCAGCUCGGGCUCUUCCUGCAUGCCAUAAAUGGCCCACAAAAAAGAAGAAUCAUGUUAAUGAAAAAUAG
This 108-nucleotide ribosomal RNA is filed under the name Triticum aestivum (bread wheat). RNAcentral's name for it is "partial small subunit ribosomal RNA". Lineage: Eukaryota; Viridiplantae; Streptophyta; Magnoliopsida; Poales; Poaceae. The record is from RNAcentral.